RNAcentral lists this long non-coding RNA (261 nucleotides) under Selaginella moellendorffii. RNAcentral describes it as "long non-coding RNA (SMOE_LNC000049)". The record is from RNAcentral. Lineage: Eukaryota; Viridiplantae; Streptophyta; Lycopodiopsida; Selaginellales; Selaginellaceae.
AAGACGACGACGAAGAUGAGCCAAGGAAGAAGCAAAACGUGGAAACGAAUCCAGUGCCUAAGCCGCCAUUGCCAGCGGCUGCCAAGAAAGCAAGUGGCGGCCCAAAGUUCAUCAUCAAACCUGUCGAGAAAAGCAUCAAACCAGUCGAGAAGAGCAACGUAAGUAGUGCUGCUCCUCAAGCUAACGGUGCGCUCUCCUCGCUUGGGGCCUAUGCUUCGGACGACGACGACGACGAGGAAUAGCUCCAGAAGCCCAGGAGAA